GAUGAACGCUGGCGGCGUGCCUAAUACAUGCAAGUCGAGCGAACGGACGAGAAGCUUGCUUCUCUGAUGUUAGCGGCGGACGGGUGAGUAACACGUGGAUAACCUACCUAUAAGACUGGGAUAACUUCGGGAAACUGGAGCUAAUACCGGAUAAUAUUUUGAACCGCAUGGUUUAAAAGUGAAAGACGGUCUUGCUGUCACUUAUAGAUGGAUUCGCGCUGCAUUAGCUAGUUGGUAAGGUAAAGGCUUACCAAGGCAACGAUGCAUAGCCGACCUGAGAGAGUCAUCGGCCACACUGGAACUGGGACACGAUCCACACUCCUACGGGAGGCAGCAGUAGGGAAUCUUCCGCAAUGGGCGAAAGCCUGACGGAUCAACGCCGCGUGAGUGAUGAAGGUCUUCGGAUCGUAAAACUCUGUUAUUAGGGAAGAACAUAUGUGUAAGUAACUGUGCACAUCUUGACGGUACCUAAUCAGAAAGCCACGGCUAACUACGUG
This 497-nucleotide ribosomal RNA is filed under the name uncultured bacterium. RNAcentral describes it as "partial 16S ribosomal RNA". It matches the Rfam family "Bacterial small subunit ribosomal RNA", at positions 28 to 507 of the family's 1533-position model. The record is from RNAcentral.